CCGGCGAUGUCCGAAUGGGGAAACCCAGUGCAAUUCGUUGCACUAUCGUUAACUGAAUACAUAGGUUAACGAGGCGAACCGGGGGAACUGAAACAUCUAAGUACCCCGAGGAAAAGAAAUCAACCGAGAUUCCCCCAGUAGCGGCGAGCGAACGGGGAGCAGCCCAGAGUCUGAAUCAGCUUGUGUGUUAGUGGAACGGUCUGGAAAGUCCGACGGUACAGGGUGAUAGUCCCGUACACCAAAAUGCACAGGCUGUGAACUCGAAGAGUAGGGCGGGACACGUGGUAUCCUGUCUGAAUAUGGGGGGACCAUCCUCCAAGGCUAAAUACUCCUGACUGACCGAUAGUGAACCAGUACCGUGAGGGAAAGGCGAAAAGAACCCCGGCGAGGGGAGUGAAAAAGAACCUGAAACCGUGUACGUACAAGCAGUGGGAGCACCUUCGGGUGUGACUGCGUACCUUUUGUAUAAUGGGUCAGCGACUUAUAUUCUGUAGCAAGGUUAACCGUAUAGGGGAGCCGCAGGGAAACCGAGUCUUAACUGGGCGUUAAGUUGCAGGGUAUAGACCCGAAACCCGGUGAUCUAGCCAUGGGCAGGUUGAAGGUUGGGUAACACUAACUGGAGGACCGAACCGACUAAUGUUGAAAAAUUAGCGGAUGACUUGUGGCUGGGGGUGAAAGGCCAAUCAAACCGGGAGAUAGCUGGUUCUCCCCGAAAGCUAUUUAGGUAGCGCCUCGUGAACUCAUCUUCGGGGGUAGAGCACUGUUUCGGCUAGGGGGUCAUCCCGACUUACCAACCCGAUGCAAACUACGAAUACCGAAGAAUGUUAUCACGGGAGACACACGGCGGGUGCUAACGUCCGUCGUGAAGAGGGAAACAACCCAGACCGCCAGCUAAGGUCCCAAAGUCAUGGUUAAGUGGGAAACGAUGUGGGAAGGCACAGACAGCCAGGAUGUUGGCUUAGAAGCAGCCAUCAUUUAAAGAAAGCGUAAUAGCUCACUGGUCGAGUCGGCCUGCGCGGAAGAUGUAACGGGGCUAAACCAUGCACCGAAGCUGCGGCAGCGACACUAUGUGUUGUUGGGUAGGGGAGCGUUCUGUAAGCCUGCGAAGGUGACCUGUGAGGGUUGCUGGAGGUAUCAGAAGUGCGAAUGCUGACAUAAGUAACGAUAAAGCGGGUGAAAAGCCCGCUCGCCGGAAGACCAAGGGUUCCUGUCCAACGUUAAUCGGGGCAGGGUGAGUCGACCCCUAAGGCGAGGCCGAAAGGCGUAGUCGAUGGGAAACAGGUUAAUAUUCCUGUACUUGGUGUUACUGCGAAGGGGGGACGGAGAAGGCUAUGUUAGCCGGGCGACGGUUGUCCCGGUUUAAGCAUGUAGGCUGGUU
Molecule: ribosomal RNA, 1378 nt
Filed under: Klebsiella pneumoniae
Lineage: Bacteria; Pseudomonadati; Pseudomonadota; Gammaproteobacteria; Enterobacterales; Enterobacteriaceae
Description: partial 23S ribosomal RNA
Rfam family: Bacterial large subunit ribosomal RNA
Source: RNAcentral